GAUGAAGAACGUAGCGAAAUGCGAUAAGUAAUGUGAAUUGCAGAAUUCAGUGAAUCAUCGAAUCUUUGAACGCACAUUGCGCCCGCCAGUAUUCUGGCGGGCAUGCCUGUUCGAGCGUCAUUACAACCCUCAGGCCCCCGGGCCUGGCGUUGGGGAUCGGCGGAAGCCCCCUGUGGGCACACGCCGUCCCUCAAAUACAGUGGCGGUCCCGCCGCAGCUUCCAUUGCGUAGUAGCUAACACCUCGCAACUGGAGAGCGGCGCGGCCAUGCCGUAAAACACCCAACUUCUGAAUGUUGACCUCGAAUCAGGUAGGAAUACCCGCUGAACUUAAGCAUAUCAAUAAGCGGAA
This 350-nucleotide unclassified non-coding RNA is filed under the name soil metagenome. RNAcentral describes it as "partial contains 5.8S ribosomal RNA, internal transcribed spacer 2, and large subunit ribosomal RNA". The stretch from base 1 to 120 matches the Rfam family "5.8S ribosomal RNA", at positions 35 to 154 of the family's 154-position model. The record is from RNAcentral.